AUUUUAACUAAACUCAGAUUAUUCACUCAGCCUAUAUAUAAUUAAAAUAUAUUAUAUUUAUAUAUUUUUUAAUAUAUAUAUAGUGUAGAACUACUAUGCUAUCGAAAAUAUAGAGGAUUUGAUGUUUUUGAAUUUUUGACCUUUUGGUUAAGAAUUAUAUGCAAAAUUAUAUGGUUGGGAUGAUUGCGGUCCCCCCUAGGAUUAAAUAAUACCCUUAGGAUUGAGUGGUCCCUACAAGGUAAUAAUAGUAUUAAUCCAAAGAUAAGAAAUGAUUAAAGGGGUUGAUCUAAGAAUCAAAAAAUCAAAAGCACCAGAUCUUCUAUACUUUCGAUAGCAUAGUAGUUCUACUAUAUAUAUAUAUAUAUAUUCGAGCUUUUCGAGCUUUUCGAGCGUAAUUCGAACAAGCCGAGUAAUACUCAAGCUCGGCUUGAAAUGAAUUUCGAGCCUUUUUUUUUAUUCAAGCUCGGCUCAUUUAAUUUCGAGUCGAGCUCAAGCGAGCCAAAUAUCGAGCCGAACGCAAGUCGAACGCG
Molecule: long non-coding RNA, 530 nt
Filed under: Ananas comosus (pineapple)
Lineage: Eukaryota; Viridiplantae; Streptophyta; Magnoliopsida; Poales; Bromeliaceae
Description: long non-coding RNA (ACOM_LNC040244)
Source: RNAcentral